RNAcentral lists this ribosomal RNA (253 nucleotides) under uncultured bacterium. RNAcentral's name for it is "partial 16S ribosomal RNA". It matches the Rfam family "Bacterial small subunit ribosomal RNA", at positions 524 to 776 of the family's 1533-position model. The record is from RNAcentral.
GACAGAGGGUGCAAACGUUGCUCGGAAUUACUGGGCGUAAAGGGCGUGUAGGCGGGAAGGCAAGUCGGGCGUGAAAUCCCCAGGCUCAACCUGGGAACUGCACUCGAAACUGCCUUUCUUGAGUGUCGGAGAGGAAGGCGGAAUUCCUGGUGUAGAGGUGAAAUUCGUAGAUAUCAGGAGGAACACCAGUGGCGAAGGCGGCUUUCUGGACGAUAACUGACGCUGAGACGCGAAAGCGUGGGGAGCAAACAGG